RNAcentral lists this ribosomal RNA (580 nucleotides) under uncultured Terrimonas sp. Its description in RNAcentral is "bacterial SSU rRNA". It matches the Rfam family "Bacterial small subunit ribosomal RNA", at positions 338 to 918 of the family's 1533-position model. Lineage: Bacteria; Pseudomonadati; Bacteroidota; Chitinophagia; Chitinophagales; Chitinophagaceae. The record is from RNAcentral.
CCUACGGGAGGCAGCAGUAAGGAAUAUUGGUCAAUGGACGCAAGUCUGAACCAGCCAUGCCGCGUGAAGGAUGAAGGUCCUCUGGAUUGUAAACUUCUUUUAUCUGGGACGAAACACCUCUUUUCUAAGGGGCCUGACGGUACCAGAGGAAUAAGCACCGGCUAACUCCGUGCCAGCAGCCGCGGUAGUACGGAGGGUGCAAGCGUUAUCCGGAUUCACUGGGUUUAAAGGGUGCGUAGGUGGGUAUGUAAGUCAGAGGUGAAAUCCCCGAGCUUAACUUGGGAACUGCCUUUGAUACUAUAUGUCUUGAAUGUCGUAGAGGUCAGCGGAAUAUGUCAUGUAGCGGUGAAAUGCUUAGAUAUGACAUAGAACACCAAUUGCGAAGGCAGCUGGCUAUGCGAUUAUUGACACUGAGGCACGAAAGCGUGGGUAGCAAACAGGAUUAGAUACCCUGGUAGUCCACGCCCUAAACUAUGGAUACUCGACAUACGCGAUACACUGUGUGUGUCUGAGCGAAAGCAUUAAGUAUCCCACCUGGGAAGUACGACCGCAAGGUUGAAACUCAAAGGAAUUGACGGGG